AUGGACCCGCUCUGCUCCUGCUCGUCCUCGCUGCGGGGCACUUGGGGCACUCCCUGGUGCCACGGACACAUCCCCAAGGCUGGCACCGGGGUGACAGCUCCUGAAGCAGCUUUGGUGCCAGCCCGGUGCAAAUCUUGGAGUGGGGACAGGACAUUUCACCCUUCACAGCACCGGGGAGCACCAGGGCUUUGCCUGGAGCGGGGCAGGGGCUGUCUGUCCCCUGCUGGCUUCCCACCAUGGGCACCACAAACACCCCAAAACCCCGCGGCUGCUUCUUGCACAUCCUGGAAGCAGAAAAGUGGGACUUCUUCUCACUGGGUUACACAGCCAGCGAGCGGAGGCCUUGGGAAUCGGCCCGUCCCCAUCGACAUGGGGACUGUGGUGGCACCGGGGAGCCCUGGAGGGAGCAGCGGGGCCCGUCCCCACCGCGGGCACGCCGCCGUCACGCCCUUUGCUCUCGUCCUCGCUUGGCCCGCGGGGAGGAACCGCGGCCUGACUCAUCGGGGCUGGGCCCCGCCGGUGCCGCCGUCCUUUCGCCGCUCCCUCGGGCUGGCGGUGCGGCCAAGGCUGGGGUCGGCACAGCCAAACGGUGACCAUGGGCACGGGCUCCCCUCGGCGCCGUUUUCGCCGCCUCGUCGCAGCGGGGCCGCCCGAGCCGUGGGUGUUUGGCUGAAGGAGGAGGAACCGGGGAGCCGCGCGGUGCCCGUCUCUAAAAUUAGCCUUUUUCUGGGUGGGAGCGUGGCGAUGAGCUGCCCGCAGCCGCCCCGCGCUGAGAUUAAAGAGCUGAGAGCACCGGGGAGGGCAGCGCCGGGCGGGCAGCGCCUGCCAUGGUGGCUCGCAGGGUGCAGAGCGCGGCCGGCUGCCAGCGUGGGGAUUUCGGGGCUGAGCCUCGUGCCCAGGGCAGGGAAUUCCCGAAGGCGGUGGCCGGCAGCGAGCUUUGUUGGCGAGGUUUUGGCUGAAGCAAGAGAAACGGAGCCUCGUGGCGAGGGGAUGGCAGCGCUCCAUUUACCCUGA
This 1014-nucleotide long non-coding RNA is filed under the name Anas platyrhynchos platyrhynchos (common mallard). RNAcentral describes it as "lncRNA (ENSAPLG00000029729.1)". Lineage: Eukaryota; Metazoa; Chordata; Aves; Anseriformes; Anatidae. The record is from RNAcentral.